Molecule: non-coding RNA, 1022 nt
Organism: Styela clava
Lineage: Eukaryota; Metazoa; Chordata; Ascidiacea; Stolidobranchia; Styelidae
Source: RefSeq, a predicted model, not a curated record
AUUAACCAAUAAAAAAUUUAAGCACGUGCUCAGGUCACCAAGCAAAGAGGGACACCAACUGUCACGGACGAAUAUAAUUUGAUGCGACAUAACAAACCCAAACGCGAGAUGCGGAAAAUACAACGUAUAGAAAAUAGGGAGGUGCCAGACUUGGAAAAAAUGAAGACGACGGCUAUUGCAGUUUCCUUCAUAUUACUGAUUUUUCUGCAACAAUUUUUCUGUGAUGCAAAGAAAAAUUCGCGAAAAUACACAGCGAAGAUUUCCAGAGCAUGCGGUGAAAAAUACUGUCCACGUCUAAUCAGCGGCUGGGGAUGCAGCUACUUCAAGAAAGAAAGAAAACGUUGUCGAAUAUGCAUCCGGACGAAAUUAUGCUAUUGGUCCAGGAAUCCAUACCUACCGUUUAUUUAUAAGCUCCGAUUUGAAGGUGUACAGAAUUGAAAACCUUACAGAAGACAUGCAUUUGUAAUUUUGUGUGACAAUUUCACUAGAGAAAACUGAAAAUUUUCAACAGAUCAAAAUUACACUUUAUUAGUUAUAAGCCAUAGGAAAUUACUUUCAUAUCGAGUGUAUAUCAACCUUGAAUAUGUUGACAUUUUCUCUUCUUAUAUGGUAAAACAUGCCGGAAUUAAUCUGAAUAUGCUCGGAAUAAAACUUCUUGUAAAGUUCCUGUUACCAGAUUGUGAAUGAAAACAGCUUUCUGAUAACAACAUAACAACUGCUAUUAACAACUUUGAGACCUCCAGAAAUAUGUGCACCUAGAUGGCGCACAACCUCAACCCAAUAUGUGUUAGGGUUCAGGUUUUGCGCCACCUUGGUGAACAUACUUCGGGAGCGCCCAAUAUUGUGUUAAUCCAAGUAAAAAAUAUUCAAAGCUAAGCUAAUGUUUUUCUUACAUUUAAUUUGUUUAAAAUAACCAAAUACUGAUGUGAUGUUUUUGUGCUACUAAUAAACAAGUCAAUCUAUCUCCAGUUUUCAGUAUUUGAGGAUGAAUGCCACCACAUUUUUCAAUCUACCCAUUGGAA